AGGUUCUCCUCACGUACAAUCUGUGGCUCCCACUUGCUUAAACCCCUUGCUUCUAUCCCAGGGAAAAGAGAGAGAAGGAAAAGAAAGCACUUUCAGACACCCUUUUCUUUUCUACUUUCUCUCUCUAACACCGAUUAAGCAAGCGUCUAGAGAGAGAAAGGGAGGUGUUCGUUUCAUAACAAAGAUCUCUCUUUUAACAUAUUUUUAUGCAGACACUAUAUAUGUAUUUUUCUUCUUCUUCUUCUUCAUAGUAGUAAGACACAGCACAUGCCAAUAAUAUUUUCGCUAUUUCUUGUCCCUCUUCUAUAAGAGUUGGAAGGGCUAGUUUUUGUUUUCUUUUUUGAAGAGAAGAAUUUUUAAGUGGGUUUCUUUUUUCUUUAACAAUACCCUUUUUGUUUUCGGUUUCUGGGUUGAUUUAAGGUUGGCAAUUGAGAUUGUUAAGAAUCUAAAAUCUGAUCCUUGGUAUUGGAGGGUGAUAAAGCUUGCAUUUUUGUGUGGAGUUUUUGGUACGCACGGGAGGUACAAGCUGUGUUCAUUUUGGCUUUACCUUUUAUGCUGACACCUUUUUAUAUCUUAUAUCUGUAGAUUGUCUUUUUCAUUUUCUUUUCUUUUCUAAUACUUGUAGUUUUCAGUCCAGAUUGUUGAGUUCUUUUUUUUUUUUUUUGUUCCUUUUUGUUUUCUGUGGUGUAAAUAAAUAUCAGGAGAGAAAUGAGAACUAUUAAUAAGGCGGAGGAGAAAUGUGAAAAAGGAAAAAUUAGUUUCUGAGAAGGGGAUAGAAAGGGGGAUUAUUGUGCAAUUAAGAAGGUUUAGGCAGUUUAGCGUGUAAGAUCUUGAAAUUUAGAAGAUAUAGUUGCUUUUCUUUACCGAAAAAGGAUCGGGGGAGUAUUUUAGAUCUUGAACUACUUCUGGCAGUUUUUGCAAUAUGUAAUUGGUGUGUUUGUAAGACCAUGGGGCAAGUAGUCUGUUUUCUUUUUUCUAUUACUAUGAAUUAUAGUCUGUCGAGGGUUUGUAAGAUCAAGGGACUUUGACAAGAAUGUGUUGAGCAAGUGUUGACUUAGGUGCAAUGUUAAGAGCAUUAGCUCCUGGACUUUUUCUAAUAACUUAUCUUAUGAUCUCAGUCUCUGCCAUCGACAAUGAGUUCGGGAAUUGUAACUGCGAUGAUGAGGGUAUUUGGAGCAUACAUAGCAUUCUAGAGUGUCAAAGAGUCAGUGAUUUCUUGAUUGCAGUAGCCUAUUUUUCAAUUCCUAUUGAACUCCUUUACUUCAUUAGUUGCUCCAACUUUCCAUUUAAAUGGGUCCUUCUUCAGUUUAUUGCAUUUAUAGUCCUUUGUGGAUUGACACAUCUGCUCAAUGCCUGGACUUAUUACGGUCCACACUCAUUUCAAUUGAUGCUGUCUCUCACCAUUGCAAAAUUUCUUACUGCUUUGGUUUCAUGCGCAACUGCCAUUACCCUUUUGACUUUGAUUCCUCUUCUUCUCAAAUGGAAAGUGAGAGAGCUUUUCUUGAAGCAAAAUGUGUUGGAAUUAGACCAAGAAGUUGGUUUUAUGAAGAAGCAAAAGGAAGCAAGUUUGCACGUUCGGAUGCUAACUCGAGAAAUCAGGAAGUCGCUUGAUAAACAUACCAUAUUGUAUACGACUUUAGUUGAGCUUUCGAAAACUUUGGAUUUGCAUAAUUGUGCUGUAUGGAUGCCAAAUGAGAAUAGAACAGAGAUGAACCUCACCCAUGAGUUGAAACCAAGUGCUAAACCUUAUCACUUCUCUAUCCUCGUCAAUGAUCCGGAUGUAUUAGAGAUAAAAGGUAGCAAGGGGGUGAAGAUUUUAAGGUCAAAUUCAGCACUUGGGGCUGCAAGUGGUGGUGGGUCUGAGGAGGCAGGUGCCGUGGCAGCAAUUCGGAUGCCGAUGCUUCGGGUUUCAAAUUUUAAAGGAGGGACGCCUGAAUUAGUUGAUACUUGCUAUGCUAUACUGGUUUUGGUUCUUCCAAGCAUGAAUUCCAGGGGUUGGAGCUUUGACGAAAUGGAAAUAGUGGAAGUCGUUGCUGAUCAGGUGGCUGUUGCUUUAUCUCAUGCUUCAGUUCUUGAAGAGUCUCAAAUUAUGAGAGAGAAGCUAAGUGAGCAAAAUCGUGCUUUGCAGCAAGCUAAGAAGAAUGCAAUGAUGGCAAGCCAGGCAAGGAACUCAUUUCAAAAGGUGAUGAGUCAUGGAAUGAGGAGGCCAAUGCACUCAAUCUUGGGCCUGCUUUCGAUGUUCCAAGAUGAGAACAUGAGUUUUGAACAGAGGAUUAUCAUUGAUACAUUGGUAAAAUCCGGCAAUGUCCUUUCCACUUUGAUUAAUGAUGUCAUGGAUAUUUCAGUGAAGGAUAAUGGAAGAUUCCUAUUAGAAAUGAGGCCAUUCCGGCUACACUCCAUGAUCAAGGAAGCUUCUUGCCUUGCUAAGUGCUUCUGUGUGUAUAAGGGCAUUGGUUUUGAUAUUGAUGUUCAUAGUUCUUUGCCUGAUUUAGUGAUAGGAGAUGAGCGAAGGGCUUUUCAAGUGAUUCUUCAUAUGGUUGGACAUCUUUUGAACAUCUAUGAUGGAGGUGGAACUGUUAUAUUUCGGGUUUUCUCAGAGAGUGGCAGUGAGGGAAAGAAUGAUAGAAUGUUGGGCAUGUGGAAAUCAAAUGCUUCAGAGGAGUAUGUGUGUAUAAAGUUUGAGAUCGAGAUUAGAGAGGGAAGUUCUUUAUCAGACGGAUCAAUCUCAACCACACAUUCUUCUGGGAGGAGGCAAAACAGUGAUGAAGCUAAAAAAGGCUUGAGCUUCAGUAUGUGCAAAAAGCUUGUGCAGAUGAUGCAAGGUAAUAUUUGGAUAUCUCAGAACUCUCUGGGUUUUACACAAAGCAUGACUCUCGUUCUAAGGUUCCAAAUCCGGCCUUCUUAUGGAAGAGGCAUAUAUGCCCCUGGAACUACCUCAGAACAACCAAAUUCCAAUUCGUUGUUCAGAGGUCUUAAGGUUAUACUUGCUGAUGAUGAUGAUGUGAACAGAACUGUGACCAAGAAGCUGCUCGGGAAGUUAGGUUGUGAAGUGACUGCUGUGUCAUCUGGAUUUGAAUGCCUUAGUGCUCUUACUUGUGCUGAAAAUUCUUUCGGAGCAGUUAUUUUGGAUCUUCAGAUGCCAGAAAUGGAUGGAUUCGAAGUGGCAAUGAGAAUCCGAAAGUUCCGAAGUCGUAGUUGGCCAUUGAUUAUAGCUCUCACUGCAAGUGCUGAGGAUCAUAUUUGGGAGAGAUGCCUACAGAUGGGAAUGAAUGGAGUAAUUCGAAAACCUGUUCUCUUACAAGGGAUGGCCGAUGAGCUCCGGAGAGCUCUGCAAAGGGCAGGUGAAGGGUUAUAAAGAGCAAGUUAUCAAAGAUAAUCUCGCAUUGUUUUAUCCGAUGGGGUCGCAAAACUCUCAAAUCUCACCUUCAAGAUGCAGCAUGGGAACAUUAUACAAUGAUGGUAUACAAAAAAUACAGGUUUUCGUGGCUGAUAGGGUACUGAUCCACAGCUGCCACCUCGAAAUCUCUCUAGUCUUUGCACCAACAGAAAGUUGGUAUUGCUACGCGCGACAAUGACAGUGAGGUAGAUAAGCCUUCACCACAACUUCGGGGUUUGCAAUAAAAAAAGCAUUCAUUUGCAUUCAAAAUCUUAAAGGUGGUGAGGUCCAUUAAGUUUGUUGGAAGUGACAAGAAAGUGGAAUUCUCCCUGGUGUUAGGUGCUUGAGGUAGUAAUUUCAUGGCUUGGAGACUUGGAGUUGGAGGAAAUGUCGCUAGCUUUACGUAAAAUUGUUUGGUCAGGGAGUGGAAGAGAAAGAAAGCAGCUUCUCGUGACCCAUGUAUCUAACAUUGUCAUUUUCCAGAUAUACAUUUACUACUCCCAAAACUAAUGUCAGGGGAUUCAGAAAUAGUACUUCAACAACCAUUACGUGCCCAAGGUCUUUUAUUCUUCUUGGCGUCUGAUAUUUUGGCACAAAUCUGCCCCACAAAUGUAUUAGAAAUGAUACCUUAGGAUGAAUGUAAAUCUCAGCAAAUUGCUUCUGCUCCAAGAAUAAGAGUUUUUUCUUCAGUAACUAUCUCAAAUGGUUAUAAAUAUUGAAAAUUCUAUUAUUA
Molecule: RNA transcript, 4109 nt
Organism: Ricinus communis (castor bean)
Lineage: Eukaryota; Viridiplantae; Streptophyta; Magnoliopsida; Malpighiales; Euphorbiaceae
Gene name: protein EIN4
Exons: 4
Source: RefSeq, a predicted model, not a curated record